UUCUUUUAAAAAGGUGCUUCUUCACGUUAGCAUCAAUCAUCAGAGAUUAAAUUGAAUCAUCACA
Caenorhabditis elegans is the source of this 64-nucleotide non-coding RNA. The record is from Ensembl. NCBI's taxonomy places the organism in Eukaryota, Metazoa, Nematoda, Chromadorea, Rhabditida, Rhabditidae.